GACGAACGCUGGCGGCGCGCCUAACACAUGCAAGUCGAACGAGCGAGAGAGAGCUUGCUUUCUCGAGCGAGUGGCGAACGGGUGAGUAACGCGUGAGGAACCUGCCUCAAAGAGGGGGACAACAGUUGGAAACGACUGCUAAUACCGCAUAAGCCCACAGCUCGGCAUCGAGCAGAGGGAAAAGGAGUGAUCCGCUUUGAGAUGGCCUCGCGUCCGAUUAGCUAGUUGGUGAGGUAACGGCCCACCAAGGCGACGAUCGGUAGCCGGACUGAGAGGUUGAACGGCCACAUUGGGACUGAGACACGGCCCAGACUCCUACGGGAGGCAGCAGUGGGGAAUAUUGCACAAUGGGGGAAACCCUGAUGCAGCGACGCCGCGUGGAGGAAGAAGGUCUUCGGAUUGUAAACUCCUGUUGUUGAGGAAGAUAAUGACGGUACUCAACAAGGAAGUGACGGCUAACUACGUGCCAGCAGCCGCGGUAAAACGUAGGUCACAAGCGUUGUCCGGAAUUACUGGGUGUAAAGGGAGCGCAGGCGGGAAAGCAAGUUGGAAGUGAAAUCCAUGGGCUCAACCCAUGAACUGCUUUCAAAACUGUUUUUCUUGAGUAGUGCAGAGGUAGGCGGAAUUCCCGGUGUAGCGGUGGAAUGCGUAGAUAUCGGGAGGAACACCAGUGGCGAAGGCGGCCUACUGGGCACCAACUGACGCUGAGGCUCGAAAGUGUGGGUAGCAAACAGG
Molecule: ribosomal RNA, 735 nt
Filed under: uncultured bacterium
Lineage: Bacteria
Description: bacterial SSU rRNA
Rfam family: Bacterial small subunit ribosomal RNA
Source: RNAcentral